CUUAAAUCUAGCCUCAUAAAAAUAUUUUUGACUUAUCCUCCAAUUUUCAUAAUUUUCUUAGACUGUGCAUUUUCUGCUAAUUUAUCUGUCCCGUUUCUCACAGAAAAUCCUAAAUCUUCUGUUUUCGCUCCGAUUUCAGCACAGGUCAUUCCCAACCUAUAUUUCACUUCUCUAAAUCUAAUAAAAAUAGUAUUUCAUACUAUUUUUAUUUAUUUUUAUUUUUAUAUCUAAAUCCGGUAUAUUACAUUACACUGCAACCUCACCGGAACCAUUUAAAUGUACACCGUAACUUCAUAUUUUUAGAAGUCCGGUACCUUACAACAGAAGUUCGGUACCUUACAAUGACUCUUUCUCUCAUUCUCUCCCUCACAUUACACUAAAAGGCUCUCUCUCUCUCUAGGAUCUCUCUCUCUCUCUCUCUCCCUCAAGAGGUGGAGCUAGGAGGAGGAUUUGGUGGGGAAGAAAGCCAAGGAGUGAAGCUACUCCUUCAUCUUCUCCAUUAGCUUGAGGAAAGGAAAGCUUUAGAGGUAAGCUUUGAGCUCUCUCAUGGUAGAGGACUAGAAUGAGAACCAAAUGGCCUAUAAAUGGUUUUGAUAGGAUCUCUAGAUGUAAAUAAGCUUACUUUUGCUUAUCUUAGAGAUCAAAACAAGAGUAGGGCUAUAUGUGAAAGUUAGAGCACCCAAAUUUAGGGCUUUUGUCAUGGUUGGUUCUAAAGGCAAAUUAACCUUAUACAAACUUAAUUGGGGGUAUUUCCGACGCGUUGGUGCGCUCGGUUCGGUGAUCCGACGAGUGUACGCAAAGAAAUUGACGAAAAUGUCGAUUUAGGUACAGAUUGCCGCAGUAUGCGAAAUAGGCAGCCAAAAAUCGUGAAACUUGAACCCUUGCACCUAAGUAACCAUACGAGGUGGGUGGUGCUCUUCAAACUCAUUGAAUUUUCUUUUAUGUCUAAAGUGUCGCUUAUUGAGCAUAUGUAUAUGAUGAGUUUCAUGCAUUGUAGGGUGAUUGAGAUUGCGUUUACAUGAGUUAUUGCAUGUUGUGAGUACAAAUGCAUUAUGAGAUAGUUGAGAACCUUUGAACCCUAUGCAUGCAUGAUUGGUGAUAAAAGAAGCUAAAUGAGGUAAAGAACCUUGUGACACUAUGACAUGUGAAUCGAGUGGCAUUAGUAAAUAUAAUAAAUGCUAGAGUUGAACUCAUAGUUGAGUGGCAUUAAAGACUAAAGAAUUGCUAGUGUACAAGUGUGGCACUAAUGAAUAUAUAUUGAAUGCUAGAGCAUGAAACACUAGAGUUAGUGUGUGGCAUUGUUGAGUAUUGAAUGUUAGAGACUGAGUAUAAGAACAUGUAGUGUAAAUGACACUAAUGGUAUUAGACGAUGCAAGUAUAUGAGCAAGUUGAUAUUAUGACAUAACAACCUUAUAGUUAAGGGUCAUAUGAGCAUUGCAACCUUAUAGUUAAAGGUCAUAUGAGCAUUGCAACCUUAUAGUUAAGGUUUGAUUGAACUUGGAAAUCCUUAUAGUUAAGGAUUUGAUCAUACUCACCUAUACGUCUUGGCUUAAGGGUGGUCGCGCCCCCUCGAGCGAUGAGCUCCGGAGUAGUCAUCACUGGGUCGUAGUAGUCUCCCCAGAGGACGGUCUCGUCGGGUCAUAGUAGUCUCCCCAAUACUUGGGAUUAUGAGUUGGUGAGUUGUGGGCAAACCUACGGGUUAGCCAAGAGAUUGGGUAAGUGAAUUGGGAUCUUGCAUUCAUCAUGAGUAAUUUAUUUGAGCAUCAUUAUUGAUUAUAUAUUGUUCAGGCAUAUUAGCUGCAUUGUAUAGCUUUGUUAUUAUCUACCUGUUUUCUUCUAUUAUGCCUGAUUUAGACCUGGUGGGAAAGUCGGCGAGGUUGGUGGUCGAACCCACUGGGAACUUUGUUGUAGUUCUCACCCCACAAUUUCCACAGAGCCGGGACCGAGUGAGCCGGCGGACGAUCGCGGUAAGGGUAUCGCACCGUAGACAGUGACCGCCUGAGUCGGUUUUAUUAUUUGCAUAGUCGCAUACCCUUAUGACUAGGGGUGGCAAUCCAGCUCGCUGUUUGCGAGCCAUCUCGUGUUCGGCUCGAAAUGAGCUCGAGAUCGGUUCACUCGUUUAGUAAAUGUGCCGAACACGAGCUGGAUUUUUCAGCUCGUUUAAUAAACGAUCCGAACACGAGCUAGGGUCAGCUCGCUCGUGUUCGGCUUGAUAACAGCUCGAUUAUAUUUAUUUUAUAUUAAUAUAUUUUUAUAUGUUAUAUAUAUAUAAUUAUAUUUGUAUAUGAAUAUAUAAUACUAAUUAUUAGUUUUAAAUUUUUAGCCCAAUUUUACAAAAAAGCUCAGCUUAUUUAUUUAUAAAAGAGGCCCAUAGGCCCAUUUAUAUUUAAAAUUUUAACCGUUGGAUUAAAAUCUAAUGGUUAAUAUUGCAUCAACCUUUUAAGUCCUUCUAUGAUUCUAUACCUAUUUCCUAACCCUAGUUUUCUUUUCACACAUGUUUUCACACUUCACACAGCCAUGGGCGGCGGCGGCGAUCACCACGGAGGCGGAGGCCACGGCCACGUGCAUGGCCAUGACGGAGAGGUAGGGGAUUUCAGGAAGAAGGUGUGGAGCAUGACGGGGGGGCCCUACUGCCGCCCCAAGCACUAGCGCCGUAAUACGUCGAUCGCCAUGGCCGGGAUCUUCCUCAUCUGCGUCCCCAUCACCAUGAAAUCUGCCGAGCUCGAGGUGUUUUUGCUCUAGUUUUUCUGUAGUUUUUGGUAUCAUCAGUGGGUUGUGGGGAUCAGGAUCGGGGUGGGUAAUCAAGGGGUUCGUUUGUAGUGUAUGAGUGGAAGAACGAUGAGAUUGAGUGGAUUUUUGAGUCAUUUUUUUGCAGAUUCGAUGUGAUUUAGCGUUUAAGGUUACGAGAAAAUGUAGAGAAAUAGGAGUAUUUAACCCUUUUUUUCUUCUAAUUAUUGAAAUAAUCACUAAUUCUCGUUCUCUCUCUCUCUCUCUCUCUCUCUCUCUCUCUCUCACGUAACCACACCGCACAGGCGCAGUGGGACACACCCUCGCAGGCCGCAGGCGGCAGCACCGUCGUUCGCAAACCCCCGGCAGCGGCAGUGAACUUCGACAACGGCGCUAACGAGCCGAGCUAACGAGCCGAACACGAGCUAGCUCGAUUAAGUUGCGAGCUGAUCACGAGCCGGAGUUCUCGAGCUCGUCACGAGCUCGAGCCAAACAUGAGCCGACCUUGAGACGUUCGAGUCGAGCUCGAGCUGGCUCCAGCUCGCUCGAGCUCGGCUCAUUUACAGCCCUACUUAUGACUAUAUAUGUAUCUUCUUUUGUCCUUGAAGAUGCAAUUGUAUAAAGAGAGUUAAAGUUGAAUGUAAGAAAUCUAUUUUGGUGAUUAUGUGAUGUAAAUGUACAAAUGUGAAAGCAAUGUAUGUGAUCAAAAGUCACCAUUAUACUUGUAUGGUUGUAUAGUUUAGAAUUCUUUCACUUUGGCUACUGCUUGUCCUCGUGCAAGCUAUUAUGUGUGUUUCCGCUUGUGCGUUCUCUUUGCUUGAAUUGUACAUGUGUUGAGCCUUGGGCGGACAGGGGAGGUGUUGUCCGUUCAGCAUUUGUUUGAUGUGCCCGAACCGACCAAAUAGGCCGCGCUUUGGUUGGCUCGGGGCGUGACAGAUAUAGUGGUAUCAGAGCCUAAAAGUGGAAGAAUAGGAAUGGACCUAGAGACCCUUAGGAUUGGAAAACUUUAAGGAUCUAGGAAACGUGAGUGACGUGGAAUCAAAGUUAGCGAAAGCAUGUGAUUGGGUUAAUGUUAGUAGGUCUCUAAUGUGGUUAGGGGCUAAAUUUAAGUUGAUGUUCGUUCUCUACUCCUUGUAUUGUGUUGGGCGGCCGACAACAUUAUACUUUGGAAUGAGGAAGAAUACGAUUGUUUGCUUUCGCCGGAUUGGGUAUGUAUGAGUUAUGUAAGCAUGUAGCUGAUGAAAAUUGCUACAUUUCGGGAAGUAAUGGCUCGUGGUGGACCUCGAACAAGGUCGAUACCGGAGGAGCCGAAUGCAACACCCGAGCGAUCCGGAGCAAGUGGCGACGGAGAGCUUUGGGAGCAAAUGUCCGCACUAAUUGGAGUAGUGCGACAACAAGUGGAAUCCGUUUAGCACCAGGGGGAGCAGAUUCAAAGGCUUCAAGAAGCCUUAGAGCGACAGCAGGCGGCAGCGGCUCAAGCGGGCUCCGAGCACCCUGUACCCCCUGCGGUGGUGCCGAGUGCGGCUGAUGAUGUCGUGGCGGCGGCGGUGCCAGUCACGGUGGUGACGGCUGGUUCAGAAACCUCAAAUCCCGAUAGUGCGGCGGCGGAGGCGAAGCGGGAGCGCGCGUUGGCAGUUCUCGUCACGUUUAUGAAGUUCAACCCACCUGUUUUUGAGGGGGAUAAGGUGGAGCCAUGGAUGGUGGAGUCGUGGAUUGACUCAAUCGAGAUGCUCUUCGAGGACAUUUAUGCCUUGGAGAAGGAUAAGGUGAACCUCGCUACUCAUUGCUUGGGAAAGGCGGCAAAGGUAUGGUGGAAGCGAGUAAAACGAGAUCAGUCUUCCAAUCUUCCACCUAUGCUUUGGGAGGAGUUCCGAAGGCUAAUAUUCGCGAACUACUUUCCCGAUACGGAAAAGCGGAAGUUGCAAUAGAAAUUCCGCAAGCUAAGGCAGGGUGAUCGAUUGGUGGGGGAAUCUGAGCAAGAGUUCUCUCACAUCAUCGAUUAUGUCCCUGAUGUGGUUCGUAAUGAUCGGGACCGGGUUGAUUGGUUCUUGUGAAGGCUUCAGCCGAGGAUCUAUGAGAAGGUGCAAAUCCUUAAACUCACGACCAUCACGGAGGUCCUGGAUAGAGCACUUUGGGCGGAGCACGGUAGUGCAUAUGCACGUGGAGAGCGCGAGUCGAUGGAUAAGGAAAGGGACAAAGGAAAGAAACGAGUGGCGGGUGGUGCCGAAGGCCGGCCAAAUGCUAAGAAACCCCCUCGGUAUCCCCGACGGCAGUCGAGGAGUUGGCGGCCUAUGCGGUGUGUUAUUUGCGGCGGUGAACACCGACCGUCGACUUGUCCGCAAGGCGGGGGGAAGUGUUUCAAGUGUGGUCAACCGGGACAUCUUAUCCGGGAGUGCCCGAGUUGGACAUCGUCGGCACCGACGGCAGCAUCAGUUCUGUCUUCCCCGAGGCAGCUUGCAGGGUUGCCACCAGCUAUGUCGGCUGGAUGCGUAUCAUCGCCACGUCAGCCGGAGGGAUCUAGAGUGCCAAGUGGAUGGGUUUUCGCCACUCAAGGAGCAGCUUGCAGUCCCUGAUGACGUUGUAGCAGGUAUUAUCUUGAUCAGAUGCACUAGAGCUAGAGCAUUAUUCGACACCGGUGCAUCUCAUUCAUUCAUUGGUGCACCAUUUGCGAAAAAUCAUGGUAUAGAGGUGUCUCAUUACGAGGAUUAUUGGUGGGUGAAUGCUCCAGAGCAUUCGUUCAGUGUUCAUGACGAGUGCUUGGCUUGUCCAAUUCAGAUAGGUGAUUGGAUUAUGCCGAUAGAUCUACUAGUGUUAGAUCGAAUGUGGGGCUUCGAUGUGAUCUUGGGGAUCAACUGGCUCUCCAAGUACUACGCGGUUACAGAUUGUGAAAAUAAGGUAAUCACUUUUCGUGAACCUAACCAAGAAGAGUUAGUGUAUCGGGCCUGUAAAAGCUCGCGCUUCGCGGCGACCGUGUCGGCGGCGAGGGCGAGAAAGAUGAUUAAAGGUAUAUGUGUGGCCUAUUUGGCGACCAUGGUAGAGACUCGAAGGGAGCACCCGGAACUUGGGAACAUUCGGGUAGUAUGUGAAUUUCCGGAUGCAUUUCCGACGGAGUUUCCGGGAUUGCCACUGGACCGGCAGGUCGAAUUCGUCAUUAAUUUGAUUCCCGGGGUGGCGCCAAUCUCGAAGGCUCCGUAUAGAAUGGCACCGACAGAGUUAGUAGAGUUGAAAGCUCAGUUGCAAGACUUGCUUGAUAAAGGCUUCGUGAGGCCGAGCAUGUCACUGUGGGGAGCUCCGGUGCUAUUUGUGAAAAAGAAGGAUGGUACACUUUUACUCUGCGUAGAUUAUCGCGAGUUGAACAAGGUGACGAUUAAGAACAAGUACCUGUUGCCGAGGAUUGAUGAUUUAUUCGAUCAAUUGCAAGGGUUGCGGGUGUAUUCGAAGAUUGAUCUUCAGUCGGGAUAUCAUCAGUUGAAGAUCCGGCCGAAGGAUGUGCACAAAACGGCGUAUCGUACGCGGUAUGGCCAUUAUGAGUUCACGGUAAUGCCGUUUGGGCUUACUAAUGCCCCGGCAACGUUUAUGAACUUGAUGAAUCGAGUCUUUCAACCAUUGUUGGACUAGUGCGUCGUGGUAUUCAUAGACGACAUGUUGGUGUAUUCGAAAAGUGAGGAGGAACACGAGGAGCAUUUGAGAACCGUGUUGUAAAUGCUCCGAAAAAAGAAGCUUUAUGCUAAGCUCAAAAAGUGCGAUUUUUGGCUAUCGGAGGUUACCUUCCUAAGCUAUGUGAUAUCCGGAGGCGGGGUCUCGGUAGACCCGAAGAAAGUUGAGGCAAUUAGGGAUUGGCCUCGCCUUACCAGUGUAACGGAAGUCCGCAGUUUUCUUGAACUCGCGGGGUACUAUCGGCCGUUCGUGGAGGGGUUCGCUAAGAUAACUACUCCACUAACGCGCCUCACGCAUAAAGGAGUGAGAUAUGUUUGGAGCGACGAUUGCGAUCGGAGCUUCGAGGAGUUAAAGGAAAGGUUGACAUCGACCUCGGUGCUUGCUUUGCCAACUCCGAGGGAGACCUUUGUGGUGUACAGUGAUGCUUCAUACAGUGGUCUCGGGUGUGUUUUGAUGCAGAAUGGCCGGGUGAUAGCUUACGCUUCAUGCCAAUUGAAGAGUUACAAAAAGAACUACCCGAUUCACGAUCUUGAGUUAGCCGCGGUGAUUUUCGCGCUAAAGUUAUGGAGGCAUUACUUGUAUGGUGAGCAUUGUGAGAUUUACACCGACUAUAAAAGUCUCAAGUACUUGUUCACCCAAAAGGAGUUGAAUAUGCGACAGCGGUGGUGGUUAGAGUUAUUAAAGGACUAUGAUAUCACUAUACUAUACCACCCGGAAAAAGCCAAUGUCGUGGCCGAUGCACUAAGUAGAAAAUUGGUGGAAAACUUAGCUGCGGCGAUCACGCCUCAACCGUUGUUGCAAAAAGAGAUGCAACGGUUAGGUUUGGAAGUAGUAGCUCCGGGAGUGCCGGCUACACUUGCCACAUUGGUUGUGCAACCGACCUUGUUGGAGAGGAUAAAAGAGCUACAAGCUUCCAAUGAGUAUCACCAAAAGGUACGCGGUGAAGUUGAUGGCGGUAGCACCGAUGAUUUUGGCAUUGGGACCGACGGCGUACUUCUAUUUCGGAGUCGUUUGUGUGUGCCUAAGAACGAGGACAUUUGAAGGGCGAUCAUGCAAGAAGCGCAUCAAUCUCUCUAUAGUAUACUGUAAGGAAGUGAAUUCUCGAAACUCGAGGAUUAGACUUCGACUAGAAUCGACUAUUCGUCGAGUGCGUAGGCUUCGGAAAGUCCGAAGGUGUUUAUAAUGCAUAAAGUGCAUUAAGGAAGGGUCCGCGAGAAACACCAGUGCAAAAAAUCUGCACUGGAGCAGAAUUUCUCUCGGGGACCGGUCCCUGGCAGGGAGGGACCGGUUCCNACCUUUGAGGAUUUUGGCUCGCGAAGUGAAGAAGCUUCGAAAUCGUGAUAUUCCGUAUGUAAAGGUCCUUUGGAGCAACCACGAUGAGCGGGAGGCUACGUGGGAGUUGAAGAGCAUGCUGCAGGAGCGCUAUCCCCAUCUUUUUCAGAUGGAGUCUUGAGCUACUUUGUUUUAUUUAGUUUCGCGGACGAAACUCCUUUUUAGGAGGGGUGAAUAUAACACACUAAACUUUCGCAAAUUGCACGGUUCGAGUGUUUAAUCUGUGUUCUGAGUUUUUUCAGGUAUUCUGGAGGGUCGUAGAUAGUGUUCCGACCUAUGGCUCACAUCCUGAGAAUCAAGGUUUAAAACUUAGCACUAAAAUCUCUAUAGUGAAGAUUUUAGGCUCCUCUCGAGUUCGGUUCUGCAAAGCAGAGUACCGUACCGCAUUGACCUAGUACCGGAACUAGAGGUUGUACCGGUACAACAUCGGGCUGAUACCGAUACCCAGUGCAUUUGCUCGCCAACCCGAGGCUCGGGUUUGCGCAGUCUGUAGCUUGGUAUUGGUACUCUUUCCCGCGUACCGGUACGCAGUGCAAUUCACAGACUGCUUAUUUUUUUUGGGCGUUUUUGUUAUUGUAGCAAUAUUACAAAUACCCCACGCCCCUUUGCUGGUCUCCUGAGCUUGGAAACACAGGAGAGAAGGUAGGGAAGCCCUCCACUUCCUCUCUUUGGUUUUCUUUGAUUUUGUUGGAAUUUUUGAGGAUUAAUCACCUCUUUUGCUUCCUUUUUGCUUCUUGGUGACUUUCCACCAUGGGGAGAAGGAUUGGAGCUUGGAUUGGAGCUUGUUGGAGGAGAGAUCUUCAACCCUAACUCAUUGCAAGCCUAGUUUGAAACUUCUAAAGAGAUUAGUAAUGUUUUGGUGGAUUUUUCUUGAUGAAAAUCUAGAAAUGGGAAAACUAGGGUUUAUUUGGGAAUUUUUGAUUUAGGGCUUUUGGAGCUCAAUUGAUUGGUUUACAACUUUCAUUUAGGUUGGAUUAGAAGGGCUCUAACUUCCAUUUGGAAUUUGAGAGGGUUUUUCUACAUUUUAGGUGAGUUUUGACCCUUUUCUUGGGUUGGUUAAAGAUGAACACUAUAGGUGUUCGUUUGUUUCGUCUAACCCUUUUAGAAUUUUCUUUAGGGAGCUAGGAGACUUAUGGGCACCUUCGUUCGUGCAAACGAAAGAGUUACAAGGAGCUCUUGGUGGGUUUGACCUCACCGAAAUGGGUGAACUCCCCCUAUACUUUAUUUUUUGUUGUAAAAUAAAAAUUCAUACAUAUUCAUGCUAGAUAGGGCAUAAAUAAAUUUUAGAAUGAUUAAAAUGCAUAUGUUAUGUAUCAUGAGAUUUCGUCUCUAUGUAGUAGAGAAAUAUGUGCAAAGUAUAUGGUAUUCUCAUGAUGUGUUGGAAUCAUGUUAUAUGUAGAUGAAUGACAUGCAAUUACUUGCUCAUGAACCAUGGACAUAUGCUAAAUGUAGUAGAAACGUAAUGUCAUUAAGUGACAUUGAACUUGGAGUAUGUAUAGACUUAGUAAGCUACAAUGUCAUAAAGGGAUAUUGAGCUUGGAAUAUGUUUGGGCUUGGUAAACUAUAAUGUCAUAAAGUGGCAUUAGAUUAAUAAAUGAUGGAACCGUUACAUUGUGACAUAGAGCUAGACCUUUGGGGUUGCUAGUAUUAUACCAUGUUGAGACAUGAUGAUCGAGUACUUGAGAUGAUGAUCACGUGUCACGCCCCGAGACCGCUGCCAAUUUUGUCCGGUUCAGGCGCGUCGAACAGACGCCGAACGGACAGCACCUCCCCUGUCCGUCCAAGGCCAAGCAACAUGAUCGAGUACAAGAAUUUGUCCAGGAAAUGAAAUUCUAUACAUACACAAUCAACGAAGGGCACAACAAGUGCCAACAACUAAGAGCAAGAGUCACAAGUGCAUACAAGUGAACAAAAGAGAGAUGUACCAGCUAUUACAUCACAUUGCAUUCAUUUACCUUAAUUUACAUUUACAUCUCUUCCAGAAUGGAUACAUGUUUAUUAGAUCAUCACCAAAAUACAUCAAUAGCUCUCCAAUCCUCACCUACAUAAGUCUCUCAAUACAUAGGAUAAUGCUAAUGCAAAAUGGAAAGCUACUAUGUACUACUGCUCGGGCGCGAUGCCCUUGCCGCGGUCCUCGCCCGGCGUACUCGUACUAGGCCCUGCGACAAAGUGGGGUGAAAACUAUUGUCCAUAAAAUGUCUUAAUGGCCUAUCACCAUGUCAUCAUGUCACGACCCGCGACCACCCGCCUAUUUGGCCGAGGUCGCGGCGCCGCCGACAUCGCCGAAUGGACAGGGUUUCCCCUGUACUGCGGACAGAGUCUCCCCUGUACAUUCAAGGCAACGCAAUCCAUACAAUACGAAGGUUCCAAUCAGGAACUGAUAUCAAUCAAGAUUNUUCGCUCCGAUUUCAGCACAGGUCUUUCCCAAUCAAUAUUUCACUUCUCUAAACCCAAUAAAAUAGUAUCUCAUACUAUUUUUUAUUUAUUUUCACUUUUAUAUUUAAAAUCCGGUAUGUUACAUUCCACCGCAACCGCACCGGAACCAUUUAAAUGUACACCGUGACUUCAUGAUUUGCGAUGU
Molecule: long non-coding RNA, 10297 nt
Filed under: Ananas comosus (pineapple)
Lineage: Eukaryota; Viridiplantae; Streptophyta; Magnoliopsida; Poales; Bromeliaceae
Description: long non-coding RNA (ACOM_LNC005539)
Source: RNAcentral